CAGCAGCCGCGGUAAAACGAAGGGUGCAAGCGUUACUCGGAAUUACUGGGCGUAAAGCGUGCGUAGGUGGUGGUUUAAGUCCGUUGUGAAAGCCCUGGGCUCAACCUGGGAAUUGCAGUGGAUACUGGGUCACUAGAGUGUGGUAGAGGAUAGUGGAAUUUCCGGUGUAGCAGUGAAAUGCGUAGAUAUGCGGAGGAAUACCGAUGGCGAAGGCAGCCAUCUGGCCUAAUACUGACGCUGAGGUACGAAAGCAUGGGGAGCAAACAGGAUUAGAUACCCCCGUAGUCCCUGUCUCUUAUAC
RNAcentral lists this ribosomal RNA (301 nucleotides) under uncultured bacterium. Its description in RNAcentral is "partial 16S ribosomal RNA". It matches the Rfam family "Bacterial small subunit ribosomal RNA", at positions 509 to 807 of the family's 1533-position model. The record is from RNAcentral.